GUCGUGUGAAGGGAAGGGGAAGUAGGGGGCUUCUCUGCAUCUUAAACCACACAGAGGGAAGUCCCAAAAGAAUCACUGCCUGAGACUGGAGGUGCCUACAGGAAUAGAGGCUGGUUACUUUCUCCUCAACUGCAGCAACCUACAGCUCACCUGGGUGCACCACUGCACAACUAGGGGAGAGUUCUGGGCAAAUGACAGCUGCCUACUUACCUUUGGCUGGAGCCACACAUGAUAGAAGGUGGGAAGAGAGGGGUCGGCCGAUGGGUAAGCUGUACUCCUACCAUUUGGUAGGUCAAAGAUGCCUGAAUUUCCCGAGAGCCAAGUGGAUGUUGUGGGAAGUAGCAACACUAAAGCUGUUUUGAUGAGAUUCAACCCAAGAAGGCUGCCUGCUUGGAGAUGGGACACCACCAAAAUGGCCAGAAAGCUAUUGUGUCUGCUCAAGCCAGUCCUCAGGGGCAAGUCAGAGGGAUUCUAUGUAACAUGAUGGAUAGCAGGAGCAGAGGUAAGAGAAAAAUAAAGUGGUUUCUUCUUUCAAGUUCAGCCCCAUCCAGUAAACCAGUAGACAUAUAAAAUAACGAUUUUUCUAUCUCUACAAAAGAGUUCAAGAGAGAAACAAACAGAAAUGAGUGGAUAUCUCUGCAACGAGGAGGGAUAAAUGGACAGAGACCUUUACUUUUCAGGUUUUUUGUCCUGUAUUAUUUCAAUGUUUCAUAACAAGCUUGUAUUACUUUUAUAACUAAAAGAAUUAAUUUUCUUAAAAUGUGGGUGUUAACCACAUGUCAAGCCCAGAAUCCUGUAGUGUUUCCCUCAGUUAGUGAGUUUUAGGAGAAGACAGUUUGCUCAAUGAUGUGCUGGUAAAUGCGCUGCAGGGUGAGACAGUAUGGUGAUUUGUAGUGUCUGCUGAUAUUUCCAUGGCAUAAAGACUCCCACCACGAUUGAUUUCAAGCUACCAACAGUUUGACAAGUGGCUCACAAAAUUCCUGGAUAUUCAGCAGCUUAACAGCUGGCUUGCCAAAUUCCUGGAUAUUUAACCAUUGGCUUUACCAGCUGUAGCACACCAGAAAAGCAUUGUGUGGGAGGCAGUGGCCAGAGCCCUUUCUCUGGCAACUCAUAUCCAGACUCUGUUAAUUACCAGCUGACUGACAGGCCAGCCUCUGCCCAGGAGUAAUGAAGGGUCACCUGUUUCAACAGCAGAAUGUCAGGGCAUUCCGGCAGGCCAGCCCUGUGACCCAGCAAGCUGCUCAUCUGGGCCAAGUGGAAGGUUCCGGGAGGGUUGGAAGGACAGAAACAGGCAGAAGAAUGUGUCAGAAGAGACAGAGGAGAAGGGCAAAACCAAACCUCAGACGUCAGUGACCUUCUGCAGCUGCAGAGCCCCUUCCACAGCAAGAAGUAAAACAACGUGGGAAAGUGACAAAGUCAAAUAUUCUUCAGCACACCAAUAAUUAGAAAAAAAUCUAAUUAUGACUGUAAUGACUAUAACUACAAUGUAUUGAAUGCUCACUCUGGGUAUGUGUUUGUGCUAAAACACUUUACGUCAAGUUCUUCAUUUACUCCUCAUAGCCAUCGCACAAGUUGUGUGACACCUGGAGUUGCAGUAGCUAUCUUGUGGCCUCAGGUGGCGGUCGUGAGGAUCAAGAUGCUAAAGAUGAUGAAGAUGAUGUUGGAGCCUGGGUCCUUGUUUAUGCUGUUGAGAUGACAUAGACUGCCUGUGUCUGAAAUGGUUGUGCAUAAACAAUAAAUGCUCUUUUGUCAAAAGCUAAUGUUAGCUGAGUAUUCUAUUUCUUGCAACCAAAAGCAUUUCCAAGGGAUAAAAUUGGGUAGGCUAGU
This 1827-nucleotide long non-coding RNA is filed under the name Homo sapiens (human). RNAcentral's name for it is "HSALNT0016026". Lineage: Eukaryota; Metazoa; Chordata; Mammalia; Primates; Hominidae. The record is from RNAcentral.